AGGCUCAGAGGCAGCAACUGCCUUGCUCCACGUUGCUCUUGCAGCAGAGACCAUGUGGUGGAAAGCGCUGGGUGUUGGCUUGCAGCUGUUGGCAGGUUUCUGCAGUGGAGUCACCGUGACGCAGAAGGAACAGUUCAAAUUUGCCUGGAAGGGGGUCAAAACAAGCAUUGAAUGUUCCCACGAUGACAGCACCUACUCAACUAUCCUUUGGUAUCGGCAGCAGAGCAACCGUUCAGACAAGCGGCUGGAGCUCAUUGGCUACUCUGUACAUGGAACUGUGUCUAUGGAGUCGAAUAUGGAGAAAUACAGUAUAGAAUCGACAAAUGUGACACAUGCUUCCCUGUCCAUCACUCCGGAACAAACGACAGAUUCAGCCGUGUAUUUUUGCGCAGCCAGUAAAGGCACAGCAAGAACUUUCUGCCUCACAGCUGCACAUAAACAUUGCAGCUCUGCCAACACUCCCCUUCCUGCCCUCUAUACCACACACACACACACACACCAGUCACUUACAGAGUCCUCUUUCAUAAGACAAUGA
Podarcis raffonei (Aeolian wall lizard) is the source of this 535-nucleotide non-coding RNA. NCBI's taxonomy places the organism in Eukaryota, Metazoa, Chordata, Lepidosauria, Squamata, Lacertidae. The record is from the annotation of a RefSeq genome assembly.